GGAAAUUAGCAGUAAUGCAUCACAAAUAGUCCAGAAUGCCUCUGUACAAACAGUUCCAUGGGUGCUUUGCCACCAGCAGCAGGUGAUGCUGAAGAAGGAUCGGGAGGAGAAGCUGCGAGCGUUGGAGGACGCAGCGCGCGGGGUCCCGCCACACAUCCACCUCGGCCGGAGCUUCGAUCCAAUGCGGAGGAUGUCACCAGGUGACCGGCCACCCUCGAUGUGGAACCCCAGGAUGUAGCUCGCAUCACGUGAUGCGUUGUUCGCUUGAGAAGAAUGUGAACGAGAUGCGAGGAUCAGACUGGGUGUGUGUGUGUGUGUGUGCGUGUGUGCCUACGUGGGUGCGUGCGUGCGUGUGUGUGUGUGUGCCUGCUGCACUGGUCUAUCCAAGAAGGCAGUUUAAGGGCAUGUAGAUAAUGUUAUUGCAAUGAUACAAUGAAUGACUCUUAUUCGGAUUUCAUUGUCAUCCAUGCAUAUAGGGGCACACUGUGACACUAUCUAUGUACAUAUAUAUAUAUAUAUUAAGACAAUUUUCUCGUAUAUCAAUUUUGUACAGUUUUGCACCUAAAAAUAUUUUGUGACAGAUUUCAUAAUUUUUGUUUUGUUGCGAUCACACACUGAUUUCUAUUGCCUUCUCAGUCUAUGUCUUUCACGCGUUUAAGUGUCAGCGGAUGUGACAAUUAUAUGACAAACGUUUUUAUUGUUGUGGAGCAAUAGGUGACAACAUGUUGCCUUGCACUCUUUAAAUAGUGUUGUGGUAUGAAAUGAGUGCAUGGCAUUUAAGUGUAAAUCUUCAUCAUGAAUGUACUUGCUUAACACAUAUUUGCUGACAUUUUCAACUCAGUGUUUGUGUAGGUGCGUCCAGAUUGUAAUAUCUUUCAUCAGCUAGUAACUGCUCAAUGAGACAAACAACAGAUGUCUAAGGCAGGUUUCUUACCAAAAUGUGUCAAUGUCUCUAAAGCUUGCUGGGUAUAUAUUACGAAAGGAAAUACCGAAGUUUAGUACUUACGCUCACCGAUGUUGACAUUAGAGUUCUAAAUAUUGGAUUCCAGCAUUAUUUUCUAUCAAUAAUUUUUAAUAGUGAGGUUAAAGUGAAGUACCGCCUUCUCACUUGUCUGUGCAAGACAUAUUGCAGGAUAAGCAUUUGUGCAGAAAUACGGAGCAUAUGCAAACAUAUAUGUCAGAGUUAUGUAUCUUGUUGUUAUUCUGCAUAGAUCUGCAUAAUUGUUAGCGCAUUAUCAGAAUUAAUCGCACUCGAAUUUAUCUCAGAAAACUAAUGGCUUGCUGUACUUGUCACUGCAACGGUGUGACAAUGGCUGAACCUGAUUCCACUGAGAGAAAAGCUCUUUUAUGGUUAGAUUGUGGCGCGUAUAUUAGAGGGUGUUGAUGGCGUACCCCGAAUCUUAGUUCACACAGAAUGUUUGGACUCUUUUCAAUUUUCAGUGAUUAUAUUUAUUUGUUACUAAAAUUUGUUGAUUGAUUAACCAAAGCAUGCCGACAACCAAGAUGUUUACGUAUAAAAAGUUAAGCAAAUCGAAAUUCACGGUAAAGGAAUAGGCAAGUGUAUUUAUGCUAACGUUAAUUUCUAGAAGGCUAUCCAGGAUCAGGCCAGGCAAAAAAUCUCAACUGACGGAAGAAAAUUUUCCAUUCUAACGUUGAAACACUUUGCAGUUUCUUACCUUACGCUAUACCCUAUUAGCUCCAUUACAUAGUGGAGGAUGUACAAACUUCUCGAAAUGCGUUGGAACGCGAGUAGCAUCUGUAGCUGUCUUUCUCGAGCCUGUUCUCUCUAUUUGUGCACACAUAAAUAAAUACAAGGCUUGUUCUUUAGUUCUCAUACGUGAACAUCGAGAUGCUAGUGUAAAUAACGUGUGAUAUUGUAUGUGAUGUGACGGUCGCGAAACUGUAACGUAUAUAGGUCGAAAGAGGCGCCUUUCUAAAACGCGUGUGGAUAGCAUAUUUUGUACGAGAUGCACCGGUGUGUAGCUAGCUGCGUGUGAAUGUUUGCACAAACACGGGCCCUUUCUCAAGAUUCCACUUGUCGGUUCAUUAAAUAUGUUGGAGGGGGAAUUAGGCAAAACAGUCGCAAGCUGCACAACAUCGUCUCGGCAAAUGGUAAAAUAUGCACAUGACAAUAAUGAGUUGCUUCAGAACGUGUAGGUGUAUCAUGGAGCGUGAAAGCUGGGGUUAUAAUGGAUUAGUUAAUACAAUGACGCCCUUUGACAAGACUGAAUAUUUCGCCGUUGCCGGGUUCGGUAUUGCGCACUGCAGCGUGUGAUGGUGUGUCAGAUGGCGAUGUCCAUCUCUUGCACGGCUGUAUAGAUGUGUUGCAUAUCUUUAGCAGCAGCGCCAUCCGUGCUGUUUACUGUUUCGUGAGGUACAUCGCUGUUAGGAUACCGCCGCGAUACGAGUGAUAACUUGCGGGGUAUCAGUUGACACGAAGUCGGUGUUUAAGCCACGAGCGAAGAAAUACUCUUCAUUGAUAUCAUCAGGAAUGGAUAAUAGAGAUAAUCUCUGCUAUCCACUCCUGAUAUUAUGAGCGUUGCCGACCCUCUAACGUUGAAUCUUCCCCGGCCCCCCAUACAGUCAACACCUUGCAAUGUAACAGUGUAGUUUCUUCUUUUUUGUGGUCGUGUAAGUUGCACCAUCCGAUGUGUGUUGUUUUGCACGAAUAUGCGAAUAUAUAUAUAUAUAUACAUAUAUAUAUAUAUAUAUAAUACUAAUAUAUAUAUAUAUAUAUAAUACUAUGCCCAAAGAUGUAUGAAAUCGAACAGUGGUUUGUAUAAUAUUAGUAGUUUUUAAUGGAACUAGCUGGGCAAUUUUAUGCCCUAGCGACCAUUUUCGCUUCUGCGUGUAACAUAUGCUCGUUGUUUUAUGUGAUAGAAAUUGUGACAUAUUUCACAUACAAUAAAUAAAUGACGUCAAACAUA
Molecule: long non-coding RNA, 2927 nt
Filed under: Priapulus caudatus
Lineage: Eukaryota; Metazoa; Priapulida; Priapulimorpha; Priapulimorphida; Priapulidae
Description: uncharacterized LOC106821238
Source: RNAcentral